GCCUGGAAGAGGAAGAAAGAGAGGGCCUAAGAGCAGUGGGAAUGGGAAUGUGGAGGAAAGCUUAGCCUGGUUUUUUCCUCGUCUAGGGACAGAGGUGGAAGCUUGGUUUGGUGUUUCCCUAUGCCUCCCGUUCCUAUCAUUCUUAAGCGUUCCUUCCUCUUCCUUUUGGCU
Molecule: microRNA precursor, 171 nt
Filed under: Dichanthelium oligosanthes
Lineage: Eukaryota; Viridiplantae; Streptophyta; Magnoliopsida; Poales; Poaceae
Description: MIR2118 microRNA precursor family
Rfam family: MIR2118 microRNA precursor family
Source: Rfam by way of RNAcentral